Molecule: ribosomal RNA, 429 nt
Filed under: Bacteroidota bacterium
Lineage: Bacteria; Pseudomonadati; Bacteroidota
Description: Bacteroidetes bacterium partial 16S ribosomal RNA
Rfam family: Bacterial small subunit ribosomal RNA
Source: RNAcentral
UAGGGAAUCUUCCGCAAUGGACGCAAGUCUGACGGAGCAACGCCGCGUGAGUGAAGAAGGAUUUCGGUUCGUAAAACUCUGUUGUUAGAGAAGAACAGCGCAUAGAGUAACUGUUAUGCGUGUGACGGUAUCUAACCAGAAAGCCACGGCUAACUACGUGCCAGCAGCCGCGGUAAUACGUAGGUGGCAAGCGUUGUCCGGAUUUAUUGGGCGUAAAGCGAGCGCAGGCGGUCAAUUAAGUCUGAUGUGAAAGCCCCCGGCUCAACCGGGGAGGGUCAUUGGAAACUGGUUGACUUGAGUGCAGAAGAGGAGAGUGGAAUUCCGUGUGUAGCGGUGAAAUGCGUAGAUAUAUGGAGGAACACCAGUGGCGAAGGCGACUCUCUGGUCUGUAACUGACGCUGAGGUUCGAAAGCGUGGGUAGCAAACAGG